CAGCCGCCACGGUAAUACGGAGGGUGCAAGCGUUACUCGGAAUCACUGGGCGUAAAGGACGCGUAGGCGGAUUAUCAAGUCUCUUGUGAAAUCUAACGGCUUAACCGUUAAACUGCUUGGGAAACUGAUAAUCUAGAGUAAGGGAGGGGCAGAUGGAAUUCUUGGUGUAGGGGUAAAAUCCGUAGAGAUCAAGAAGAAUACCCAUUGCGAAAGCGAUCUGCUGGAACUUAACUGACGCUAAUGCGUGAAAGCGUGGGGAGCAAACAGGAUUAGAUACCCCCGUAGUCCCUGUCUCUUAUAC
This 301-nucleotide ribosomal RNA is filed under the name uncultured bacterium. Its description in RNAcentral is "partial 16S ribosomal RNA". It matches the Rfam family "Bacterial small subunit ribosomal RNA", at positions 509 to 807 of the family's 1533-position model. The record is from RNAcentral.